GAUGAACGCUGGCGGCGUGCCUAAUACAUGCAAGUCGAGCGAACGGACGAGAAGCUUGCUUCUCUGAUGUUAGCGGCGGACGGGUGAGUAACACGUGGAUAACCUACCUAUAAGACUGGGAUAACUUCGGGAAACCGGAGCUAAUACCGGAUAAUAUUUUGAACCGCAUGGUUCAAAAGUGAAAGACGGUCUUGCUGUCACUUAUAGAUGGAUCCGCGCUGCAUUAGCUAGUUGGUAAGGUAACGGCUUACCAAGGCAACGAUGCAUAGCCGACCUGAGAGGGUGAUCGGCCACACUGGAACUGGGACGCGGUCCUGGCUCCUACGGGAGGCAGCAGUAGGGAAUCUUCCGCAGUGGGCGAAAGCCUGACGGAGCAACGCCGCGUGAGUGAUGAAGGUCUUCGGAUCGUAAAACUCUGUUAUUAGGGAAGAACAUAUGUGUAAGUAACUGUGCACAUCUUGACGGUACCUAAUCAGAAAGCCACGGCUAACUACGUG
This 497-nucleotide ribosomal RNA is filed under the name uncultured bacterium. Its description in RNAcentral is "partial 16S ribosomal RNA". It matches the Rfam family "Bacterial small subunit ribosomal RNA", at positions 28 to 507 of the family's 1533-position model. The record is from RNAcentral.